UCCGCCAGUCAGGUGACCUUUAUUUACACGAUCUACAGUCACUCGAGAACCGUUCCACGCAAGGGGGUAGAUGGUUGCUAGACGAUUCGUUCAGUCGUUAAGUAUAAGGUCGUCUCUACCUACCUGUUGUCAAAAUCGUAUCGUCUUCACUUUCGAGUUUACAGAAACAAUCACUUAUGACGGGUCGAGGUUCAAAACUAUAAAAGUUUAUGCUAAAAGGAUGUUGUGUACAUCUACUACCUCGUCUAGCUCUACGGUCUCUUUUACGUAACCGACUGGUACUCAGUAGCGUCACGGUUCAUUGGUUCCUCGGUCAGUAACUUUAAUAACUUCUACUUUUUCAACCAUUAGAGCUUCCGUAUCUACUUCCCAUACGUGUACGUCUUCUUGUCCGAUACUUCACACUCGUACUCAGGGACGUCAUAGUUCAUGGGUUCCUCGGUGAGUAACUUUAUUAACUACUGCUAGUACAACACCUAGAACUUCCGUAUCAACCCUUGUAAAUGGUCUGUGGACUUUUUCAAUGGGUGUUGGUUCAUCAUCACCCUAGUCCGUCAUUAUAAAUAUCGUCGUCGUCGAGUCCUUUCUACCAGGGUGUUGUUAAACUCUCUUCCUAAUAGUUCGGUGGAGGAACGUUCUCCAGUGGUAAGAACCUGAUAUUACUCUCCUUUCACAUGUAUACGUUUGGACUUCAUUCGUCCGACAUACGUAGCCAAUAAGACGUGCCCUCUAACUUACUUCUUCUUAGUGGUCUACAUCUAUGAUCGGGCUUCCAUUAACUGAUGUUACCUAUACUACACAGCCACUCCCUCGAACGUUUGAGAUACUUUUUUCUUCCUAUACAGAACUGUGUACAUUACCUUUAACCGUAUGACAGGUAUUACUACUUAAACGGACGUCUGAGGUUCUUCCAACAGUACGGGGACUCCAAGAGCUGUUCCUACGACGUCUACUGAAAGGAGAGGUUACUAUAGUUGUCGGUUCUCUAAUAAAGGGCUAAGUUCUUUAGUUUAGUGGACCUGGCCUUUCUGUACUAUUACAAAUAACACAAUCUCUUAUAGCUGUUCAGUUUCUUCCAAAGUCCGUUGGUAAUAACCCAGAAGUUGCACUUAUAUUCCCUAGCUUCCAAGCUCCACGAACUAAGUACCUCCUGUGAAGUCCUGUUCUGAGAUCUACAGACGCGUUCCUGAUACCAACGAUCAAAAGCCCGAGACACCCUUCUCGUGAUAGGCUUCAGAGUAUAGAGUAAUCUACUGAAGUGUGAUUCUUUGUAACUACACGGUUUUGUUUGAUUGUUUAUACUGACGCCGUAAAAACGAGAGAGUUAACGUUUACCCACCCUUCCUUCCUUGCAAGGUUCUAAAUGUCGUCUCCUACAAGUUUCAUAGUCCUUCGUCAACUGUUUGUGCACCCAAUUGUGGUUCACGUUGUUCCGAGGUACCCUUCGACAUAACUUCAAUCGAAUCCGUUGAGUAUGUAUACGUACCAAAAGUUCCUAGAGUUCCCCCUUCGUUCGAUCUACGGUCUCUUAUCUGUAAAAAAACCUCACAAAAGUCGUACCUAAAGUGUGGUUUUUUGUCUCUCUCGUCGUCGUACAAAACACAGUCUUUUUUGAAUUCUUAUCGUCGUCAGUACCCGUUGUAUACAAACAGGGAAAAAUACAAGUCAUGAAACAAAAAGAGAAUUUCAAACAUGACCCUCGUUGAAACCAAUAGUGACAGCAACACAUCAGCGAAAAGGUUCGUUAGACAAACAGCUCCAGCACUUAACAAAGAAGCACGACGUUGACUAUGUAGGUAAAAUAUCAUCAAGAUAUCCUUUAAAGAAAACGGUAAAGAAAAAACGUCCUAGUUUUAUCGUUAUAUACAACGUAGGUGGGCGUAACAAGGGGCGGUUAACGUUCUAGUGUUGUUGUUGUUGACAACAUCCUAGUACGUUGGAUGUGGAAUAACCUUUCCAUUUAAUUUG
This 1968-nucleotide ribosomal RNA is filed under the name Triticum aestivum (bread wheat). RNAcentral describes it as "partial small subunit ribosomal RNA". Lineage: Eukaryota; Viridiplantae; Streptophyta; Magnoliopsida; Poales; Poaceae. The record is from RNAcentral.